This 492-nucleotide ribosomal RNA is filed under the name uncultured bacterium. RNAcentral's name for it is "partial 16S ribosomal RNA". It matches the Rfam family "Bacterial small subunit ribosomal RNA", at positions 29 to 507 of the family's 1533-position model. The record is from RNAcentral.
AGUGAACGCUGGCGGUAGGCCUAACACAUGCAAGUCGAACGGCAGCACAGUAAGAGCUUGCUCUUACGGGUGGCGAGUGGCGGACGGGUGAGGAAUACAUCGGAAUCUACUUUUUCGUGGGGGAGAACGUAGGGAAACUUACGCUAAUACCGCAUACGACCUACGGGGGGAAGCAGGGGAUCUUCGGACCUUGCGCGAUUGAAUGAGCCGAUGUCGGAUUAGCUAGUUGGCGGGGUAAAGGCCCACCAAGGCGACGAUCCGUAGCUGGUCUGAGAGGAUGAUCAGCCACACUGGAACUGAGACACGGUCCAGACUCCUACGGGAGGCAGCAGUGGGGAAUAUUGGACAAUGGGCGCAAGCCUGAUCCAGCCAUACCGCGUGGGUGAAGAAGGCCUUCGGGUUGUAAAGCCCUUUUGUUGGGAAAGAAAAGCAGCAGGUUAAUACCCCGCUGUUCUGACGGUACCCAAAGAAUAAGCACCGGCUAACUUCGUG